AAGAGAAGAGAGCCAUGGGGAGCUUAUUUGCUCACGAGUCGGCUGAGAACGUUCCUGCGACGCCCUACAUCUCCUACACUGGGACCUCUCUGUAGGACGGAAGCCUAUUAAAACUUGUUGUCGAGAACGUCCCCCUGUUUCACGUUGUCGAAGGAAUGGAAGGAGUCAGCAGCAUUUUGGCGGCAUACUGGAUCUUCAAUGCUUCCUACUGCGCACAACACAUGAAAACGCUAAGUUUUUUGAACAUGCAAUUGGACUACGAGCAACCAUACUCCGGGUGGCUGUAGCGUCUCUUCUGAAAAAAUACAGGGCACUGAGUUAAGUGACAAAGUGUUGACCACCAACAUAUUUAAAGUUUGUUACUGUUAAACUUCCCAGCUCAUAGCUCAUUCAAGUUUUCUAGUCAUUAUACAUCCACAUGUAUUUUUCAUUAUGUUUAAUAAAAGGAGAACUUUUAUAAAUGA
Long non-coding RNA from Ornithodoros turicata, 464 nucleotides. RefSeq lists it as uncharacterized. Lineage: Eukaryota; Metazoa; Arthropoda; Arachnida; Ixodida; Argasidae. The record is from RefSeq and is a predicted model, not a curated record. The transcript has 2 exons.